AGCGAACGCUGGCGGCAGGCUUAACACAUGCAGGUCGAGCGGGCACUUCGGUGUCAGCGGCAGACGGGUGAGUAACACGUGGGAACGUACCCUUUGGUUCGGAAUAACGCUGGGAAACUAGCGCUAAUACCGGAUACGCCCUUUUGGGGAAAGGCUUGCUGCCGAAGGAUCGGCCCGCGUCUGAUUAGCUAGUUGGUGGGGUAAUGGCCUACCAAGGAGACGAUCAGUAGCUGGUCUGAGAGGAUGAUCAGCCACACUGGGACUGAGACACGGCCCAGACUCCUACGGGAGGAAGCAGUGGGGAAUAUUGGACAAUGGGCGCAAGCCUGAUCCAGCCAUGCCGCGUGAGUGAUGAAGGCCUUAGGGUUGUAAAGCUCUUUUGUCCGGGACGAUAAUGACGGUACCGGAAGAAUAAGCCCCGGCUAACUUCGUG
This 433-nucleotide ribosomal RNA is filed under the name uncultured bacterium. Its description in RNAcentral is "partial 16S ribosomal RNA". It matches the Rfam family "Bacterial small subunit ribosomal RNA", at positions 29 to 507 of the family's 1533-position model. The record is from RNAcentral.